This is a long non-coding RNA of Zingiber officinale, 1153 nucleotides long. RefSeq lists it as uncharacterized. Lineage: Eukaryota; Viridiplantae; Streptophyta; Magnoliopsida; Zingiberales; Zingiberaceae. The record is from RefSeq and is a predicted model, not a curated record. The transcript has 4 exons.
UUCCUUAAUCGUCGUGCCCUAAUCUCACUCACGUCGAACCAAUCCUCACACACCCGAUCCCCUCUCCUUCUCCCCUCUCGCGAUCCUCUUCGUCUCCUCCCCUCCCUCUCACGACACCACUUGACCUCUUCGGCUCCUCCACCCGACGGCGCCGUCACAACACUUCCUCUUCUCUCUCGUGGACAAAAGGGGCGACCAAAAGGAAACUUGGCACUUUUCUCCCGAGUCUUAGCCGACGUCGAUCCCUCUCUGUGUCGCUACCGGCUACCACGGACUGACACCGAUCGUCGCCACCUAUCACCGCUUGUCGCCGAAGUCAUGCCCUAGAUUUUCCCUUUGCUGCACAGCACCCUAGGUGUCGCCCUCUUCCUGCACGGAGCAACGCCGAUGCCGCAAAUCGAAGCCAGCCGACCAUCAGCUACACGAGCUCCUCUCCCUAUCUCCUCACUAUAGGCGCAACGCUCGGUGCCCUAGCUUCCAUCUCCGCCGCUGACGAUGGGUUGUUGCCGACCAUGGAGAUAGAAGUUGGUCCCACAUCUUCAUCCCUGGUCCUUGUGCCCUAGACCGUCGACUCUUGGUGUCUCUUCAUCACGGUACCAGUCGGUCUUCUCACGCCGCUUCUCAUUGCUCUGGUUCACCGCCACAGUAACUUUGGGGAGGAGGUUACGAAUCUAGUUUUGGGGUAUCCAGUGUUGAACCUCAAUCUGGUAGUGGCGAAUUCUUAGUCUUUUCUUGAUCCGAGUAGCGAGGUGAAUUUCCAGCAGGACUCUGAUUUGUGAUGAGCUACCUUACGUGAGAUUACCUUUGGCACGCGAUAUAUUGGAGACAGGUUGAUGCUGUCAGGAGGUUCCAGUCGCUAGUCCCCCACCACUUUGCUUCGCGACGAUUUUAUACACUUUGGACUUUUGGUUCCGUACUCGAGGAGUUUUAUCGAGUUUUUGAUCUACUACACUUCUUUUUUCGUUGUGUUGGUUUCUCUGUCGUGGUUUUAAGGUUUCCAUCAUUAUAAUGGAGUAGGUGGUUUUCAAAUAUAAACUGCGUGGUUGUAUCAGCCAGAGGCUGAUAUAUAUAUAAACUGAGUGGUUGUUUAGUUAUGUUUAUUGUUAUUAUUCCGGUCGUGUUGGCCGAGGUAUAUGUGGCCUUGAGGGCCUUG